This is a non-coding RNA of Geotrichum candidum, 84 nucleotides long. The record is from the annotation of a GenBank genome assembly. NCBI's taxonomy places the organism in Eukaryota, Fungi, Ascomycota, Dipodascomycetes, Dipodascales, Dipodascaceae.
GGCCGUGUGGUCUAGUAGUAUGAUACUCGCUUUGGGCGUUUACGAACUUGCGAGUGGUCCAGGGUUCAAUUCCCUGCUCGGCCC